UGAGGAUGGCAGCUCUGUCCCCCACAUUUGCCACGCCCACCCAGGAUUCUACCUGUCUCCAGGACUCAGAAUUUCCUGUUUCUUCAAAAGACCGUUCCUGUCCCCAGAAUUUGGACCUGUUCGCGUGCAGUGGUCUGGAGCCUCACACACCCAGUGCUGGUUCCCAGGUGCACUAAGAUCUCUGGGUCCCUAGAGCAGGAGAGGCACUUCCUGGAAGACCCCACCAGUGCAUGCUGGAAUUCUUGCAGAGCUUCAUCUCAGCCAAUGGAUGCCAGAACAGGGCCCAAGAGAGAGCCAAGGAAUACUGGGGCUGUCCUGGUGUUGGGAAAGUUAGGGGAAGUGAUUUAUGUAGCAUCUGUUUCCCUCAUGCUUGCAAAAUCUCAGGCCCAUGCUCAGCCCCAGAGACGGGGGGAAAUAAAGGGAAAAGCUCUCGGAGUGGGCUAGAACUGGAGGGAGAUUAGUCCCUUGUCAGGGUUGCAUCUGAAGCGACGGCACAGGACAAGAUGGCCUCACUGGGGAGAGAGGAUGUCUGAGGACUGACGCCUGGAGGAAAUGUUGAGCCCCGUAGCAGGCCAUCUGGAAAUCCUGUGUUGGGUCUCUCAUGCCCGGUCUUCAACCUCAGCCAUCUUACCAUGAACAUCGUUAGGCUGGUUCCUCACUGACCCCAAGUUUGUGUGGCGUUCCAGGAAUCGGUGACUUUCCAAGAUGUCGCUGUGGACUUUACCGAGAAGGAGUGGCCCUUGCUGGAUUCUUCUCAGAGAAAACUGUACAAAGAUGUAAUGCUGGAGAACUACAGCAACCUCACUUCACUGGGGUAUCAGGUCGGCAAACCCAGCCUCAUCUCACACUUGGAGCAGGAGGAGGAGCCGAGGACAGAGGAGAGGGGCGCUCACCAGGGCGCUUGUGCAGAUUGGGAGACUCCAUCUAAAACCAAGUGGUCACUUCUUAUGGAAGAUAUUUUUGGGAAGGAAACGCCCAGUGGUGUGACGAUGGAAAGAGCCGGUCUUGGAGAGAAGUCCACUGAAUACGCUCACUUGUUCGAAGUCUUUGGCAUGGACCCUCAUCUCACUCAGCCAAUGGGAAGGCACGCUGGCAAGAGGCCCUAUCACCGCCGCGACUAUGGGGUAGCGUUCAAGGGCAGGCCGCACCUCACUCAGCACAUGAGCAUGUACGACGGGAGAAAAAUGCAUGAAUGUCAUCAGUGCCAAAAAGCCUUCACCACGAGCGCGUCCCUCACACGGCACAGGAGAAUCCACACCGGGGAGAAGCCUUACGAGUGCAGCGAUUGCGGGAAAGCCUUCAACGACCCUUCAGCCCUUAGGAGCCACGCAAGAACUCACCUCAAAGAGAAGCCCUUUGACUGCAGUCAGUGUGGAAAUGCAUUCCGGACCCUCUCGGCCCUGAAAAUCCACAUGAGAGUUCACACUGGCGAGAGGCCUUACAAGUGUGAUCAGUGCGGGAAGGCUUACGGCCGGAGCUGCCACCUCAUCGCACACAAGAGAACGCACACCGGAGAGAGGCCCUACGAGUGUCACGACUGUGGGAAAGCUUUCCAGCACCCCUCCCACCUCAAAGAGCACGUGAGGAAUCACACGGGGGAGAAGCCCUACGCGUGCACGCAGUGCGGCAAAGCCUUCCGCUGGAAGUCCAACUUUAAUUUGCACAAGAAGAACCACAUGGUGGAGAAGACCUACGAAUGUAAAGAAUGCGGGAAAUCCUUUGGCGAUCUCGUGUCCCGGAGGAAACACAUGAGGAUUCACAUCGUCAAGAAACCCGUGGAAUGUCGGCAGUGCGGGAAGACCUUCCGAAACCAGUCCAUCCUUAAGACUCACAUGAACUCUCACACUGGAGAGAAACCAUACGGGUGCGAUCUCUGCGGGAAAGCUUUCAGCGCGAGUUCAAACCUCACCGCACACAGGAAGAUACACACGCAAGAGAGACGCUACGAAUGCGCCGCCUGCGGGAAAGUCUUCGGUGACUAUUUAUCCCGGCGGAGGCACAUGAGCAUUCACCUUGUAAAGAAACGAGUUGAGUGUAGGCAGUGUGGCAAGGCCUUCAGGAACCAGUCAACGCUGAAGACGCACAUGCGAAGCCACACGGGGGAGAAACCGUACGAAUGCGAUCACUGUGGGAAGGCCUUCAGCAUAGGCUCCAACCUGAAUGUGCACAGGAGGAUCCACACCGGGGAGAAGCCCUACGAAUGCCUUGUCUGCGGGAAAGCCUUCAGCGACCACUCAUCCCUCAGGAGCCACGUGAAAACUCACCGAGGAGAGAAGCUCUUUGUGUCAUCCGUGUGGAAAAGGCUCCAGUGA
RNAcentral lists this small RNA (2312 nucleotides) under Pan troglodytes (chimpanzee). Its description in RNAcentral is "retained intron". The record is from RNAcentral. Lineage: Eukaryota; Metazoa; Chordata; Mammalia; Primates; Hominidae.